Aedes aegypti (yellow fever mosquito) is the source of this 46-nucleotide non-coding RNA. The record is from Rfam. NCBI's taxonomy places the organism in Eukaryota, Metazoa, Arthropoda, Insecta, Diptera, Culicidae.
UUUGAGGAUUUUUUCAAAUCCAUGUUUAUUUUCAUUUAGGUUUUGU